Molecule: non-coding RNA, 75 nt
Organism: Myotis brandtii (Brandt's bat)
Lineage: Eukaryota; Metazoa; Chordata; Mammalia; Chiroptera; Vespertilionidae
Source: Rfam
GGCAGUUCUCGGGUGACGCACCCUGGAAUCGGGCUCCCUCUUCUCGGGUUCCAGGUGCAUCACCUGAGAACCACA